This 574-nucleotide long non-coding RNA is filed under the name Salvia miltiorrhiza (redroot sage). RNAcentral's name for it is "long non-coding RNA (SMIL_LNC002213)". Lineage: Eukaryota; Viridiplantae; Streptophyta; Magnoliopsida; Lamiales; Lamiaceae. The record is from RNAcentral.
CUCACCAAGUUCACUCAAUUUCUCUCAAAAGACAAAUAUGGACAGAAUAGAUUCACACAAUUCACAACUUCAUGCCUUCAAACACAGCUUGCCGUUAUGUCACUAUCUCCACCAAAAUAUGGAACCAAUGCACAAAUCAAAAGGUCUUGCACUUUGGUUGUAAUGGGGCUAGGGUACGUACAGGUGGGAUAAAACAAGAAAAAGGGGAUCAAAGAGGCUCAAUAUAUGAUUGAAAACAUGCAACACACCAGACCUUCCAUCAAUAAAACUCUAGAGUAACUCCUCAACAUAUCCACAAUCCUCUAAACGUAUGCUAUUUUAUUAUAGUAACUCUUAUUUUUCUUUUUUUUUUUUUUUUUUUUUUUUUUUUUUUUUUGUUUUUUUUUUUUUUUUUUUUUUUUUUUUUUAACAGCAUAUAUAUCCCAUAGAAUCAAUGAACUAUCUCUCAACACACUAAAAUUAUAGGAGUACUCAUCUUCUCAUCUCGUCAUAAUCUAGUGCAUUCACAUGUUUUCAAGGGACAAAAGCAGGCUAAAACAGGCUAAGGCUCAAUAUAUGUGAGUUUUCAUCAAAC